RNAcentral lists this long non-coding RNA (223 nucleotides) under Elaeis guineensis (African oil palm). Its description in RNAcentral is "long non-coding RNA (EGUI_LNC061773)". The record is from RNAcentral. Lineage: Eukaryota; Viridiplantae; Streptophyta; Magnoliopsida; Arecales; Arecaceae.
UUUUCACGAGAAAUAUUUUCUCAUGUAAAAUAUGGGGCGCUAAAGAAGAUAAGGAUAUGGCGCAAGGAUUGGUUGCUCAUUCAAAUUCAAACUUUCUUUUGAAUUUGAAUGACCAACCUAUCAUCCUUAUCCACCCAUAAGGUGCACAAAAGUGGGGCGUGGGAAGGCCUUUGCAUGAGAAAAAAUUCAUGAGAAGUUCCUUCUCGUGAAUUCAAAUGGGCGC